UGCAAAGGGAGAGAGGGCUGGUGGUCCGCCAAACCGCUCUCCGCUCCCGGGCUCCCCGGGAAUCACCGGAACGGGCGGGGCGCUGCACCUCCGUCACAGAUCGGGGGCCGGGGUCACCCGCGUAACCGGCCAUCCCGGGCUCUGGGCUCCCAUCCAGUGUGCAGACUGCUCUCCAGCCGCUGGGCCCUCCUUUCCAUCGGGGUUCCCCUUACGCGUCGGAUUCCGGGGCUCCAAGGGUUGGCUAGGGACCUUCCCUAGUACAUCCACUCCUUACAGUGAACUGUGCGCGCGCUGGCUGGGCGUCCGUGCAGUAACGCAGUAACCGCCCCCUGCACUUCACACCCAGCUCCGUUUCACCGUCGUCCUGCGAGCAUCUCGUGGCCGGAGGACGAAACCCCCCUCCGGAUCCCAGCCCUGAUGUCACAGACACUCACACUCACAAACACUCCUAUGCACGUCGUUCACACACACACACUCAGACACAGUUAUGUAAACUGACACGGAGUAAGUCACAUACUCCCUCACACGCAGACACAGAUCAAAGACACACACAGAUGCACUUUCACACACACACACACGCCCACACACACAAGAAUGCAAGCUGACACACGCUGUGGACACCGUGACCACAGACAUACUCACGCCCAUCGUGCACAUUCACACAGCAAACCUCACCCGGCCACCCACGCGUUGGUUGUGAGUGCGCUUGGCAGAUCAGGUCUGGAGAAGGCGGCGCCAGGCCACCGGAUGAGGACCGUCCAGCCCGCCACCUCGUCCACCCCAGGGCUGUGUCCACUGGCUUCUUCCACGUUGCCCUUCCCUCCUCCCACCCUGAGCCUGGGAAGUGGAGCGGAGCAGCGGGAGACCCUCUGAAGGAGCAUGCAAAGACCAGGGCCGGAUCAGCAAUGGAAUGACACAGCUUGCGUUUCAAAUUGGGGGCAUCAGGUACCGGUUCCUCUGGAGCCAGAGGAAAACCCAGCAUCCUCAGAAACAGCAAAAGUGACAAAAAUUCAUCCUGCCCGCAUUACAACGAAGUACCACAACCGCACUAACAAAUCCAGAAGGAUACAGGACAGAAGACUGUGUUUGGGAGAGAAUGACGUGAAUCAAUACAGAUACAAGAUAAGCCUCUA
Long non-coding RNA from Suricata suricatta (meerkat), 1133 nucleotides. RefSeq lists it as uncharacterized. The record is from RefSeq and is a predicted model, not a curated record. NCBI's taxonomy places the organism in Eukaryota, Metazoa, Chordata, Mammalia, Carnivora, Herpestidae. The transcript has 3 exons.